This 1074-nucleotide ribosomal RNA is filed under the name Triticum aestivum (bread wheat). RNAcentral describes it as "partial small subunit ribosomal RNA". The record is from RNAcentral. Lineage: Eukaryota; Viridiplantae; Streptophyta; Magnoliopsida; Poales; Poaceae.
AUGGCUGAUGAGUCAUGGAGGUUGCCAAACUCGGUGCAGCAACUGGCUGCAACUGUGCAGGAGCCGCCGAGCCAGUACUUGCUCAGAGAGCAUGAAGGUCUUGACGGGCACCUGGCUGGUGCCGAGUUGCCAGAGCAGAUCCCAACCAUAGAUCUCGGCCUGCUAUCAGCAUCCAACGAUGCGGAGGAAGCCACCAAGCUACGAUCUGCGUUGCAGAGCUGGCGAUUCUUCAAGGUUUCUAACCAUGGAAUGGAGACCUCUAUGCUGGAUUCUGUGAUGACUGCAACAAGGGAAUUUUUUCACCUACCGCUUGAAGAGAAGAAGAAAUGCAGUAACCUGAUAGAUGGGAAACAUUUCCAGGUAGAAGGGUAUGGAAAUGACCAGGUGAAAACUCAACAUCAGAUUUUAGACUGGUCUGAUCGACUGCAUCUUAGAAUUGAGCCAGAGGGUGGGAGAAACCUUGCACAUUGGCCAACACAUCCCAAAUCUUUCAGGGAUGAUCUGCACAAAUACGCAUUGAAAUGCAAGAGAAUCAAAGGCGACAUCCUUCGGGCAAUAGCCAAGCUUUUGGAGCUUGAUGAAGACUCCCUCGUUAAUCAGUUUAACAGUAACGCCCGCACUUAUUCUAGAUUCAACUACUUCCCGCCGUGUCCAAGACCUGAUCUUGUCCUGGGCGUCAAGCCUCACGCGGAUUUCUCUGUUCUCACGGUUCUUCUCAUGGACAAAGAUGUCGCUGGGCUGCAAUAUCUUAGAGAUGGAACCUGGUACAAUGUUCCAGCUGUGUGUAACCACACCUUGCUGAUCAACAUUGGUUUUGCAAUGGAGAUAAUGACCAACGGGAUCUUCACAGGGCCAGUGCAUAGAGUUGUGACUAAUGCCGAUAAAGAGAGGAUAUCAGUGGCCAUGUUCUAUGGUGUGGACCCUGAUCAAGAGAUUGGGCCAAUAGCUCAUCUGUUGAGUCAUGAGCAACCGGCACGGUACAGGAAAAUGAAGGCCAAGGACUUACUAGUCGCGCAACUUGACCAUUUCUCUCAAGGCCGAGGAGCACGAAUUGCCGAUGCAUUCAAGAUCUAA